RNAcentral lists this long non-coding RNA (1416 nucleotides) under Ananas comosus (pineapple). Its description in RNAcentral is "long non-coding RNA (ACOM_LNC020182)". Lineage: Eukaryota; Viridiplantae; Streptophyta; Magnoliopsida; Poales; Bromeliaceae. The record is from RNAcentral.
AGGGCCGUUUGACUUUGGUGUAAGCGGAGGGUGGAACUCAAGUUCUACAUUUUUAGUAUUUAUUUUAGUAAAAAUAAAAAAUGUAAUAUAACUCAAGUUACGUUAGACAUCCGCUUCAUCUACUCUUAAUUCCCACUUUAGAGUGUCAAACGUAAGUUCCACCAUACUUAAUUUUGUAAAAAAAAUUUAUUAAAUAUUAAAAUCUAAACUCUACUUCCUUUAGAGUGGGUUAGAGUUGUUUUUUUGUAAUAGAUUAAGAUUAUUUUCAAACAAUAAUUAAAGAUUUAAGUAUUUAAUAGGUUGGAUUUUAUAGGAGUAAGUUUAACAUUAUAUUUAGGAGGUAAUGGAAUCUACUUAUUUACAUCAAAACAAAUAAUGGAAAUCAAAAAAUUAAUUUCACUAGCAUCAAAUUACGCCAAAACAAAUAAAAAAAAUAAUUGAAUUUAAUUUUCAGACUGUAUGAGUUACAUCAAAACAAACAAUCAAAAAAUAAGAGUUAAUUGCAUACAACUUCCUGUAAAUAUAGCGAAUUGCAAAUAUACCGCUACAAAGUUCAACUUUUUUAUGUUAUACCUGCAAAAGUUUUAAUAUUUUUAAAUAUACCUCUGCCGUUAGGAUAUAUUAGAAAAUUUUAGUUAAUCAUAGAUAGAAUACUUAACCUUGGUUAGUCAAUGAGGUAAAUUGACGUUUUUACUCCUCUUAUAUUAUAACUUCUUCUUUCAAUCAAAACCCUAGCAAUGAAAAUUCUUCUUCUUCCUCUCUUUCCUUCAUGCUAGUUUCGAAUCCAUAAUUAGAAUUUUUUCGUCUCCAUCCAUCCACGAUGCGUGUUGUUUUACCCAUGUCGAUCGCAUGUUGUUUUUUCAUUUAAUUUUCUCUAUAAUUUUUUCUUAUUUUGCUCGAAAGAAAAGAUUUAGGAGAAAAAGAGUGAGAGAAGAGAUUGCAACAAUGGUAGAUUGGGUUGGGUUUUAAAAAGGAAGAAGAUAAGAAAGAAGAUAACCAUUGAAAAUUUUUUUGGGGGACAUUUCUAAACGAUUAUAGCAGUAGGGGUUUUUAGAAAGAUAUAUUUAUGAUAGCAAAAUUGACAUUUCACUUAUCUACUGUUAAAAAAUAACAGUUCUCUAACAAUAACAAACUAGAAGGACAAAUAUUAUCACUGAAUUUUUACAGGCAUAACAUAAAAAAGUUGAACUUUAUAGCAAUAUAUUUGCAAUUCACUAUGUUUACAGGGUACUAUAUGCAAUUAAUCCAAAAAAUAAUUAUAGUUCAGGAAAACUCAAACAUCACUACGCUUGAGUUAUGUUAAAUCUAGAUAUUCAUCAAUCCAAACGCCCCGUAAAAGGUAAAGGAACCUGAAAAAAAUUUACCUAAAAAAUGAUUAAUAAAGAUUGGUCAUCCUUCAGAAUAAGCUGGUAGUUU